ACGGGAGGCAGCAGUGGGGAAUAUUGCACAAUGGGGGAAACCCUGAUGCAGCGACGCCGCGUGAGUGAAGAAGUUAUUCGUAAUGUAAAGCUCUAUCAGCAGGGAAGAAAAUGACGGUACCUGACUAAGAAGCCCCGGCUAACUACGUGCCAGCAGCCGCGGUAAUACGUAGGGGGCAAGCGUUAUCCGGAUUUACUGGGUGUAAAGGGAGCGUAGACGGUUUGGCAAGUCUGAAGUGAAAUGCGGGGGCUCAACUCCUGAACUGCUUUGGAAACUGUCGAACUAGAGUGCAGGAGAGGUAAGUGGAAUUCCUAGUGUAGCGGUGAAAUGCGUAGAUAUCAGGAGGAACACCGGUGGCGAAGGCGGUUUACUGGACCACAACUGACGCUGAGACACGAAAGCGUGGGGAGCAAACAGGAUUAGAUACCCUGGUA
RNAcentral lists this ribosomal RNA (434 nucleotides) under uncultured Lachnospiraceae bacterium. Its description in RNAcentral is "partial 16S ribosomal RNA". It matches the Rfam family "Bacterial small subunit ribosomal RNA", at positions 341 to 792 of the family's 1533-position model. Lineage: Bacteria; Bacillati; Bacillota; Clostridia; Lachnospirales; Lachnospiraceae. The record is from RNAcentral.